AGUCGUUGAUUUCACACUGCCGAGAAAAGCCUCUAGAUAGAAAAUAGGUGCCCGUACCGCAAACCGACACAGGUAGUCAAGAUGAGAAUUCUAAGGUGAGCGAGCGAACUCUCGUUAAGGAACUCGGCAAAAUGACCCCGUAACUUCGGGAGAAGGGGUGCUCUUUAGGGUUAACGCCCAGAAGAGCCGCAGUGAAUAGGCCCAAGCGACUGUUUAUCAAAAACACAGGUCUCUGCUAAACCGUAAGGUGAUGUAUAGGGGCUGACGCCUGCCCGGUGCUGGAAGGUUAAGAGGAGUGGUUAGCUUCUGCGAAGCUACGAAUCGAAGCCCCAGUAAACGGCGGCCGUAACUAUAACGGUCCUAAGGUAGCGAAAUUCCUUGUCGGGUAAGUUCCGACCCGCACGAAAGGCGUAACGAUUUGGGCACUGUCUCAACGAGAGACUCGGUGAAAUCAUAGUACCUGUGAAGAUGCAGGUUACCCGCGACAGGACGGAAAGACCCCGUGGAGCUUUACUGUAGCCUGAUAUUGAAAUUCGGCACAGCUUGUACAGGAUAGGUAGGAGCCUUUGAAACGUGAGCGCUAGCUUACGUGGAGGCGCUGGUGGGAUACUACCCUAGCUGUGUUGGCUUUCUAACCCGCACCACUUAUCGUGGUGGGAGACAGUGUCAGGCGGGCAGUUUGACUGGGGCGGUCGCCUCCUAAAAGGUAACGGAGGCGCUCAAAGGUUCCCUCAGAAUGGUUGGAAAUCAUUCAUAGAGUGUAAAGGCAUAAGGGAGCUUGACUGCGAGACCUACAAGUCGAGCAGGGUCGAAAGACGGACUUAGUGAUCCGGUGGUUCCGCAUGGAAGGGCCAUCGCUCAACGGAUAAAAGCUACCCCGGGGAUAACAGGCUUAUCUCCCCCAAGAGUUCACAUCGACGGGGAGGUUUGGCACCUCGAUGUCGGCUCAUCGCAUCCUGGGGCUGUAGUCGGUCCCAAGGGUUGGGCUGUUCGCCCAUUAAAGCGGUACGCGAGCUGGGUUCAGAACGUCGUGAGACAGUUCGGUCCCUAUCCGUCGUGGGCGUAGGAAAUUUGAGAGGAGCUGUCCUUAGUACGAGAGGACCGGGAUGGACAUACCUCUGGUGUACCAGUUGUCGUGCCAACGGCAUAGCUGGGUAGCUAUGUGUGGACGGGAUAAGUGCUGAAAGCAUCUAAGCAUGAAGCCCCCCUCAAGAUGAGAUUUCCCAACUUCGGUUAUAAGAUCCCUCAAAGAUGAUGAGGUUAAUAGGUUCGAGGUGGAAGCAUGGUGACAUGUGGAGCUGACGAAUACUAAUCGAUCGAAGACUUAAUCAAAA
This 1334-nucleotide ribosomal RNA is filed under the name Staphylococcus aureus. RNAcentral's name for it is "partial 23S ribosomal RNA". It matches the Rfam family "Bacterial large subunit ribosomal RNA", at positions 1589 to 2925 of the family's 2925-position model. The record is from RNAcentral. Lineage: Bacteria; Bacillati; Bacillota; Bacilli; Caryophanales; Staphylococcaceae.